GACGAACGCUGGCGGCGUGCUUAACACAUGCCAGUCGAACGGAAAGGCCCUGCUUUUGUGGGGUGCUCGAGUGGCGAACGGGUGAGUAACACGUGAGUAACCUGCCCUUGACUUUGGGAUAACUUCAGGAAACUGGGGCUAAUACCGGAUAGGAGCUCCUGCUGCAUGGUGGGGGUUGGAAAGUUUCGGCGGUUGGGGAUGGACUCGCGGCUUAUCAGCUUGUUGGUGGGGUAGUGGCUUACCAAGGCUUUGACGGGUAGCCGGCCUGAGAGGGCGACCGGCCACAUUGGGACUGAGAUACGGCCCAGACUCCUACGGGAGGCAGCAGUGGGGAAUAUUGCACAAUGGGCGGAAGCCUGAUGCAGCAACGCCGCGUGCGGGAUGACGGCCUUCGGGUUGUAAACCGCUUUCGCCUGUGACGAAGCGUGAGUGACGGUAAUGGGUAAAGAAGCACCAGCUAACUACGUG
This 468-nucleotide ribosomal RNA is filed under the name uncultured bacterium. RNAcentral's name for it is "partial 16S ribosomal RNA". It matches the Rfam family "Bacterial small subunit ribosomal RNA", at positions 28 to 507 of the family's 1533-position model. The record is from RNAcentral.